CAGGAGCACAGGGCUGGAUUUAAAUGCCAUCCCUCGGCUCUGCAGGAAGGUGAUGCAUUCCUUCCAGGAUCUACAGCCCGGGACAAACAUUCCCCAGAAGUUUUUGCCUGUUCCUGUACUUUCAGAAAAACUGAAUAAGCUGUAAGAAAACCCCCAAACCUAAAGGAGGAGAAGCACCACCUUGAGCAUCCUCAGCACGCUCCCCGUGAUGGGAAGGCUCCUGUCCCGUUUUGUCCCCUCAGUUCCAGGGGAGGUGUGGAAGACUGAGGCCAGGCUGGAGGGUGCUUGGAGCAACCUGGACCAAUGCAAGAUGUCCCUGCCUGGUGUCAGGGUCAGCUGGAGAAUCAUUUCUUCCUUACUGGGACACGUGUCAGGAACCAGCACAUUCUGGGCAGCUCCCCAGUGUGGUUUGCACCAACUUCUGUCACACUGACUUGGAGCCCUUGGAACUGCAAACCAGGCUUGGUUCAGGCAGUGGCUCUGAAAAGCAUUCUGAGGAGCUGGGGGUGCUGAGCUCUGGGGUUCCUCUCACCAAACCCCAGAAGGGACAGAAAGCCCCGUGGGGACAGCCCUGCACACCUCAGAGGUGAUCCCAACAUCAUCUGUGUCAUCAUUUUAACAUCUCCUAAAAUAAACCACAAAAAUAUUCCUCACUGAGACCUUCCUGGAGCAGCUGGGGAUGAUAUUUGGAGUGGAAAACAGUGGCAGCCUUGGAAUGGACAAGCAGACCUCAUCCAAGGCCCAGGAUUCUGUUUCCUGCAUUCAGAAGGUGCUGCUGGAGGAGUUCCCCUGAUUUGAGCAGCUCAAAAGGACCAUGUGGAGCCCAGGCCCAGGGGGUGAAGGCACAGCACCAUUUUUCCUUUUGUGGUAUCAAGUUUUGAAGCAUCUUCCCAAAGACAGCAAUGACUGAGGAGCUGAACCCUGCACUCAUCCUUGUUUCCUCUCUCUGAAAUGAUGUGUGAGGAGUGAAAUGAAGCGUUUCACUGCUGGAGGAGUUUGCAGCUGAUCCACAGCUGAUACCUGCUUGUUUUGACAGUGAUUCCACACCGUGACUGUGACACCCAGAGCAAGGACAAGGGAGAGAUUUUACAUCGCUGUUGUGUUUGCCGGUGUGAAAAACGAGCUUCAGGCUCCCGAUUUUAAACACUUUAAUAAAAGACAAUGAGACAAUAAAGCAAAAGGUUCCAAGGCUGGGUGCUGGGCAUUCCACCAAGAGCAUCCUUACCUCAGGAAAAACUUUACAUGCAUCAGCCUGUUGCAUAUUCAUAGAUCUUCAUGCAUAAUUCAACCUGUAAAUCAACUUUUUUACUUUUUAAUUUUUUUUCCUUGUGGCUCCUCCUGGUCAGUGCACUCCCUGAUGAUGGAGAUCAAUAAAUCCUUUCCCUGGAGUUCAGGUGUCACCCCUGUCUCCAUCCACACAGGAUAAUCCAAAAAUAUGAAGAAUUUCCUGAUUCUCUUUUUACCAUUCUCUGAGUUAGUUACAUGAACAAAAGCUUUUUACAUCACCACCUUAUAGUCCAAAAAAAAAAAAUUAUCACAUUGCUAACAUCUAAGUUUUGUUAACAGCAGAACUAAAAGGAACUCUGCUCAUACAGCAAAGUUUCCCAACAGUAUUUGAAUAUUUACAAAAAGGCAAUAAUACAAUAUGUAGUUGUAACAACUGGAUGGUUACUGCAGGCUGGCUGCAGCCUGGCUCUCAAACUUCAUCUACACUUACACUGACAUUUACACUUACACUUAGAUUUACACUUCAC
Molecule: long non-coding RNA, 1754 nt
Organism: Catharus ustulatus (Swainson's thrush)
Lineage: Eukaryota; Metazoa; Chordata; Aves; Passeriformes; Turdidae
Exons: 9
Source: RefSeq, a predicted model, not a curated record